Myotis davidii is the source of this 98-nucleotide long non-coding RNA. RefSeq lists it as uncharacterized. The transcript has 3 exons. The record is from RefSeq and is a predicted model, not a curated record. NCBI's taxonomy places the organism in Eukaryota, Metazoa, Chordata, Mammalia, Chiroptera, Vespertilionidae.
AAACCCUCUGCAGCCGCUGUGCUGCUGCUACUCCGAGCCAGGCGUUGGUUUCGCUCCCACAAGAUGGCGGCGCUGACAGCCACGUCAGUGCCUCCUGC